RNAcentral lists this ribosomal RNA (466 nucleotides) under Escherichia coli. RNAcentral's name for it is "bacterial SSU rRNA". It matches the Rfam family "Bacterial small subunit ribosomal RNA", at positions 338 to 796 of the family's 1533-position model. Lineage: Bacteria; Pseudomonadati; Pseudomonadota; Gammaproteobacteria; Enterobacterales; Enterobacteriaceae. The record is from RNAcentral.
CCUACGGGUGGCAGCAGUAGGGAAUCUUCCGCAAUGGACGAAAGUCUGACGGAGCAACGCCGCGUGAGUGAAGAAGGUUUUCGGAUCGUAAAACUCUGUUGUUAGGGAAGAACAAGUUGGGUAGUAACUGACCCUACCUUGACGGUACCUAACCAGAAAGCCACGGCUAACUACGUGCCAGCAGCCGCGGUAAUACGUAGGUGGCAAGCGUUGUCCGGAAUUAUUGGGCGUAAAGGGCUCGCAGGCGGUUUCUUAAGUCUGAUGUGAAAGCCCCCGGCUCAACCGGGGAGGGUCAUUGGAAACUGGGGAACUUGAGUGCAGAAGAGGAGAGUGGAAUUCCACGUGUAGCGGUGAAAUGCGUAGAGAUGUGGAGGAACACCAGUGGCGAAGGCGACUCUCUGGUCUGUAACUGACGCUGAGGAGCGAAAGCGUGGGUAGCGAACAGGAUUAGAUACCCCAGUAGUCC